RNAcentral lists this long non-coding RNA (595 nucleotides) under Androctonus crassicauda. Lineage: Eukaryota; Metazoa; Arthropoda; Arachnida; Scorpiones; Buthidae. The record is from RNAcentral.
AUUCUUAUGAAAAUGAAAAUUUUGUACAUACAUACAUAUAUAUUGAAUUUGACUAAAUUAUUAAUAAUAAUAAAACUUUUAACAGAUAUUUGUCCUCUCUACAAACCGGGUAUGAUAGCAACUCUCUCUCUCAUUCGAUUACUUUCGCGCCCGGAAUUAGACCGAUUUAUCUUUCCUUUUUUUCAUGUGUGUUCGCGUCUAGCGUCGUUAAAGAAAAGACUCUUUGACUACUAUUGAAAUGUAUAAAAAUAUGUAUAUAAAUUUAAUUAUGUAUUAAUACUGAUUACGAUAAUAUGAUAUAAUACAAAAGGAAAAUGCGUAAAUAAUAAUAACAACAAGAAUAAUGUAAAAUUGAUUUAUGAGUACAUAAUUAGAAUUAAAAAUGCAUAUUACAAAUUUUGGAUAUGGAUGCGGAUAAUUAAUGGUGGAUUAUAUAUAUAUGUUAAAAUAAACAAAAAAAAAAGAAAAUAUAAAGUUCAAAAUGCCAGGCUAUAUUAAUUUCAAAAGGGGCGGUUUAUUUGGGGACGUACAGAAAAUCCCCUUCCACAACCAUAUCGCUGUAUGGUCUGGUAGCGACUGUCGAGGGGUCUUCCCC